AUUGAACGCUGGCGGCAUGCCUUACACAUGCAAGUCGAACGGUAACAGGUCUUCGGAUGCUGACGAGUGGCGAACGGGUGAGUAAUACAUCGGAACGUGCCUAGUAGUGGGGGAUAACUACUCGAAAGAGUGGCUAAUACAGCAUGAGAUCUACGGAUGAAAGCAGGGUAUCGCAAAACCUCGUGCUACUAGAGCGGCCGAUGGCAGAUUAGGUAGUUGGUGGGAGAAAAGCUUACCAAGCCUACGAUCUGUAGCUGGUCUGAGAGGACGAUCAGCCACACUGGGACUGAGACACGGCCCAGACUCCUACGGGAGGCAGCAGUGGGGAAUUUUGGACAAUGGACGAAAGCCUGAUCCAGCAAUGCCGCGUGCAGGAUGAAGGCCUUCGGGUUGUAAACUGCUUUUGUACGGAACGAAAAGCCCCGGGUUAAUACCCUGGGGUCAUGACGGUACCGUAAGAAUAAGCACCGGCUAACUACGUGCCAGCAGCCGCCGUAA
RNAcentral lists this ribosomal RNA (498 nucleotides) under uncultured bacterium. Its description in RNAcentral is "partial 16S ribosomal RNA". It matches the Rfam family "Bacterial small subunit ribosomal RNA", at positions 30 to 523 of the family's 1533-position model. The record is from RNAcentral.